UUUUUUCAAAAAAAAAAAAAACCCAAUUGUUCUCUCUCUCUCAUUUCGCGGAAAAAUUCCCAGCAAACUAUCUAUCUCUUUUCAUGGCGGAAUCACCAAAGUACAUUGACCCCUAUGAGUGCAGAGAAGCUGUAGCGAUUUCGCCAAAACUCUCUCUCUCUCUUUUGUUCUGUUGAACCCGGGAUUACAGAGAAUCCCGCCCGUGUUUAAACCCUCCGACGAGCUCUCCGGCAGCCAUGUACGGCGGAGGUGCGUUUCUUCUUCAAACCACGAAUUCUCCUUCAAGCGAGUCCAAUCGGUCAGCAAAUCAGCAGGUCCAUUCGAUGCACUAAUCUGCGUCGGCCAAUUCUUCCCCGAUUCACUGGAGCUUUUAGACGAGUUUCUGGAUUACGUCGAAGGCCGAGCUCAGGUCCUGAUUCCUACUUACUUCACCGGAGACUACGGCGUCCCCGCCCCAAAAUCCUAUCCGCGACCUCGAAGAAAACUGAGAAUCAAGGGUUUAAGAUGGACGGGCUCGUGGUGGCACACAUCUUGUUUUGGUUAAGAGGAAGUGGGAAGUUCACUCUUCUUGGUUUGUCUGUUUCUUACUUAUCUGGUACGGAGUCAUCUGAUGGUCAGUUUGGGAAGUACAGUCAAGAUGAUGUUGAUGCUCUUCGUGCUCUUGCUGAUGAUUCUGGAGUUGUUGAUUUGUUUUUGACUAAUGAAUGGCCUGUGGGAGUCACGAACAGAGCUGCGGAGUCUGAUAUUCCUACAGAGGUUUCUGAUUCGUCUUGUUGUGAUUCCAAUGUUUCUGAAUUGGUGAAGGAAGUUAAACCUCGUUAUCCCAUUGCAGGUUCGAUGGGGGGUGUUCUAUGCCCGUGAACCUUACUUGAACGUUGAUUCUAGUCAUGUAACUCGCUUUCUUGGCCUUGCUCAAGUUGGAAACAAAAACAAACAGGUGUGUUCUUUGAUAGUUACUCUUGUCCCAAGAGCUUGGUACUUAUUGGUCACAUCUAACACUCUUGGUAGUUAGCUUUAAUUUACUUAAGUGCUCAAUGCUUGGUAGAGUCUAGUAUCUUGGUAGUUAGCUUUAAUUAGGUUGUGAUGCAAGUAAUCUAUUAUUACAAGUUUUCAAAUUUUUGAAACUUAGAACCUUUAAUUGGUUCUAUCAUUGGAAGAUAUAAAACUAAACAAGUAUCUAAACUUUUUUAAUUUGAUUAUUUUCAAUUAAAAAUUUGUUUUAGAACUCUAAGACCAUAUCUAUUGUUGGAGAUGGUCUAAGAAAGGAAAAAACCUUGUGGUUUCUAAAAAAGUAUUUCACCCAAAAAGUAAUCAUAAAAAAAACAAAAAAUAUGAAAGAGAAUGUAGAAAAAUUUAGAACAGCUUAUUGUUUGAGAAACUAUGAAUAAAAGUUGAGAGAUUAGCUUUACAUUUGGUCCAGAAAAAUAAAAUUUAAUUAUAAUUUAGUUACUUCUAAAUAUUAAUAAAAUAAAAAAUUAUUUUGGAAAACUUAUGGUUGAUGAUGCUCUAAGAGUAACUUCAUUGGCAAGUUUCUCAAAUACAUCUCUUUCCUUUUGUUGGUUCAACUCGAUAUCGCGUGAUUACGCUGAGCCUCUCAACAAAGUGGCAACAUAUACUACAACUGUGAAAGAGGGCUCAUCAGGGAAGCCCGUUGUUGUUGCUGCUGCACCACCAAGGUCCAAGGAUCAAGAACGAGCUUUGAAACCAGUUAGAAAGUUUGAUCCAGAGCCAAGCGGUUAUACAUGGGACACGCUGAGGCUAAAGUGCUGAACAAGUAUUUCAAUGGAGCGCUGAACAAGUAUUUUGCCGAGCGAUAUGAUACGUUCCAGAGGAUUUAUCUAAGGGUCAGACUGGUUCAAACGCAGCGGUUGCAGUUGCGGUUGUGAGAGUUUACGGAUGCGGGUGGUUGCGGUUUCUAGCGGUUUUAAGAGAUUUGUACGACUGAUUAUGCGGUUAGAAAUUGGUGUGUUUGCGGGAUACUUACGACUGGUUAACUACCACAUACAUCAGCGGUUAAAUAAUAAAUUAACAAUAUUUAUAUUUUA
RNA transcript from Brassica napus (rape), 2045 nucleotides. It is a transcript of the gene named zinc finger CCCH domain-containing protein 64, with no coding region annotated. Lineage: Eukaryota; Viridiplantae; Streptophyta; Magnoliopsida; Brassicales; Brassicaceae. The transcript is spliced from 6 exons. The record is from RefSeq and is a predicted model, not a curated record.